RNAcentral lists this ribosomal RNA (467 nucleotides) under uncultured bacterium. RNAcentral's name for it is "partial 16S ribosomal RNA". It matches the Rfam family "Bacterial small subunit ribosomal RNA", at positions 28 to 507 of the family's 1533-position model. The record is from RNAcentral.
GAUGAACGCUGACAGAAUGCUUAACACAUGCAAGUCAACUUGAAUUUGGGUUUUUAACUUAGGUUUGGGUGGCGGACGGGUGAGUAACGCGUAAAGAACUUGCCUCACAGCUAGGGACAACAUUUGAAAACGAAUGCUAAUACCUAAUAUUAUGAUAAUAGGGCUUCCUAUAUUUAUGAAAGCUAUAAGCGCUGUGAGAGAGCUUUGCGUCCCAUUAGCUAGUUGGAGAGGUAACGGCUCACCAAGGCGAUGAUGGGUAGCCGGCCUGAGAGGGUGAUCGGCCACACGGGGACUGAGACACGGCCCUUACUCCUACGGGAGGCAGCAGUGGGGAAUAUUGGACAAUGGACCAAGAGUCUGAUCCAGCAAUUCUGUGUGCACGAUGAAGUUUUUCGGAAUGUAAAGUGCUUUCAGUUGGGAAGAAAGAAAUGACGGUACCAACAGAAGAAGUGACGGCUAAAUACGUG